CUCUGUCUGUGCCUGGCUCUGGCUGUGCCCAGCUCUGUCUGUGGUGGAAGGGGCUGCUGUUUGCUGCCCCUCUUGCUCAGGGCUGACUCACUUCCUGCCUUAGUAACUCAUUUGAAACCUUCCUGUUUUCUAACUUCUGACUGCAAAGUGAAGCCGUUUGUGAAGCAUGUGAGAGAAAUUGUACUGGUGCUGCUUUGCAUCACUUUCUGUUUACUUGAGCUGGCUGGCAGGGCAGUAUUUGUACCUGUUGAAAUGAUGCAUCCAUCUCAGGCAGCACUGUUUGUCUCAAGGGCAGGCAGGGUGCAGGCACCUGAGGACUCGUCCCUGGAAGGGAAGCAUGAGAGGAGAUGGGGGCCAGGAUGCAGGUGUGGGAGCAGAUCUCUGGUGCACUGUGGUUUGUGUGGGGUCUGACUGUGUUGCACUGCCUCUGAGACUUUUGUUUUCACAGAUGUUAAAGCCAGUCACAGGAAGAUGAUAAAUAGAAUGACAAACCUGAGUAGAACAGCUCUGGCAGAUUUUAAGGGACUGGGACAAGCAGUCUGGCUGUCAUGAGGGACACAGAGCAAAGCUGCAGGGCCUGGGGGCUGUUCUGGCAACACCCCAGCCCCCUGUGCAACUGUGGAGCAAAAAUCUCCUUUUAGGAUAAGAAAUAUGUGCAUGUACAUGCACUCAUGUACACAAACAGGCUCUAGGGGGAAGGUUAAUGCCUCUGUAUGAAUCUCUGCAGGCAUUUCCUACUGGGAAUGUUUCCCAGUUUAGAAAAACAUGUCAUGGAGGGUGCUGCAGCUCUCCUGUCUUGGCAUGUUCCUCCCUCUUUUGUGAGCCCUGCCUAUGAGCAGAGCUCUGGCUUUUGGAAGCUGCACAGGUCAUCAGAAGCACACAGAAGAGUUAUUUCUACCAUCCCCUGUCCUCUCUGCUACCCAGGCAUGCCUGACAGCUCUUCAAUGCUUGCAUAAGAGGUAGGAGAGCGGUGUGCUAUUUAUAUGCCUGUCACAGUGGGUGGUGAAAUGGCUAAUCAAAUCCUACCUGGCUUGUGAUAUGGCCAUAGCCUUUGUAAAUGUGCCAAGUGCUCUGUGAAAGGUGCAUGAUUUACAAAGCAUUUCCUCAGUUUCUCUGUCAGCUAUAAUGAGACAGAAAUCAGAGGGAGAGCUCCUAAAAUUUUUAAGUCGAUUCAGCUUAAAGAAACCAGACAAGUAGAUGCACAAAAGUAAAGAAUAAUAUAUGCAUGUGUAUAAGGCUCUGUGUAGCAAAAGACCCACAGAACCAACCUCUCAUGGGAAACAAAGUGAAAGUUUGCUUUUAAGACUAUUGAAGAAGAAAUUCCAGUUUCUUUAAAAGCAAUGAGGAUUUUGCUGUAGUUUUCAAUGGGACUAAGCUUCAGCUCCUGUUGGAAUUCAUAACUUAUACCUCACUGCCUGUCACAAAGAAAUACAUUAAGCAGGGAUGAAAGAUUUAUGAAAUCAUGCAUGAAAUGACUGUAUGUCUACUCUGCUUUCUGAAGGCUGUAUUUUUGUGGAAGAUAUUUUAUAUACAGGACAUGAUUUAUCUCUGAUGCCUGCAAGUUUUAUUCUUCUGUAAAGUUUUAACUACCUUGGGAGAGAUGCUCCCUUCUGGGAGGACCUUCUCCUUCAGUGGAAGAAGGAAGGCUGCUUCUUCUGUUGAUAAGGGGUACAGUGAAAAGCAGUAAAGAGAGCAGAGGAGCUGGAACUAUCUCUGGCACCUGGGCUGUGCUUUAGUGCCUGUAAAAUGCACUGCAUCACCACGUGUGUGCUUCUGAGAGUACUGCACUCAGGGCUGUAGUGCUGUCUUGUUUGACUUAACACAAUAUUGCCUCAAGAGAUUCCAGCCACUCAGUUAGGCUGAGAUCUAGACUUCCUGUCAAAAAAGAAAUUAAUUUCAAAACUUUCCAGAUGAGAUGCUAAGAUGAUAAUAGAUGUCCUGACUGAUGUCAGCUGUCAGGACAGUGCACAACAUACUGCCAGUCUCUUCCACUCUGUACUACCUUUCUUCUCUUUGCCCCCUGUUGGUUCCUGCAUUUGUUUCGCAAGCAAAAUGAAGAACCUGUCGUGUCAUCCUUGCCCUCUAAAGGCCUCUGUAAAUGUUUUGGCUUUACUGUUCACUUUCCUGCUUUUGCUUGGAAGAUGUGCCAAGGGCUGAGAAAGUGCUGUUCUCACCAAGGCACUUGGGUUCUGGUCAGCUGCUCUCUGCUUGAGGUUAUCCAGCUGUGACACAUGCACACAAUGACACCUACCUUCUGGGGCACAGGAAACAUGAAUUGUCUGUACUUAAAGAACCAGCAAGGAUGCACUGCUCAGUAGGGAAUAUAUUAAUUUAAUUCAGUGUCUUUUACAAAGAAGUUUUUAAAUCCGAGACUGGAGUGAGGAGGCAUUUUGAAAGUUGUACAAGUGAGCACUGCAAACACAGCUGAAUCUCAGCCUGAGAUUUCACUGUUGCUCUCUUCCUGUGCAAUGACUCAUUCAAAUCCAUUAAAGCAUCCUAAUUGGUAAGUCUUACUAGAGCCUUGGCUUCUCUGUGCACAGAUGUGACCCAGGGCAGCAUCUGAGUCCUCAGACAAUGGUAUUUUUUUAGCCCAUCAGAUCUCUCAUGCUUCUGAAAAGCAAAAUCCCAGUUUCACAUGCAUUUGGGAUCUUUGUUGUUAUAUAUUUUGAUGUGGGUAUUAAAAUGGUGAGUAGUUUUGUGUCUGAAACCUCUGCUCUAGUGAAUUGUAACCUGUGUAUUAGCAUAGUUGAAGAUCUGUAAACCAGAUCUUGGCAUGAAAAGAUGGUACAUAUUUCUGCCCUGAGGAUGGACAGCCUGAACUUCUGUACUCACUCAGAGGAAUGUGGUUAUUAACAAUAAAUAUCUCUCAAAUUUUCUUUUUUUUUGCAUGCUUUUGUGGUAACGCUUGGGGUGAGUGCAGCAGCAAAUAUGGAGAGUGUUUAAUACAGGUUUUCUGUGCUGGGAGUCUGCUCUCUCUGCUUGCAGACAUGCAAUACAUGGGAAAAUGCUCCUAGUUGUUCCAGACUCAUAGAUGGAGUGCAUUUCUUUGUCUUCAGAAGUUCUGUGUGAAGGAGAACCUCCUGGAAUGUAUCCUAGAUAAGUCCCCCGGCCUGACUGGGAUGAAGACAACCAGUGAAGAGGUUGUGAUUUCCUGUGAGUGAAUCCUCAGAAAAUACCCAUCUGAACUGGAAAAUGUUGGACCUGGUGGAGGUUAACUCUUCCAGGACUAAAUCCACAGGGUUAAAUGCUGUCAACCUGUUCUGAGUCUGUGAACGGGGUUUGGAAAAAUCUGUCUAAUGCCUGGUAAAUAGGAGUCUACAUGGAAUAAAACAAGUCUCGUCACUUGCCAGCUUUGCCAGAAAAGCCCAUGGGAGGAGUGGGCAUUGGAGUUUUAAGCAGCCUUUUUCUCUCAGAAACAAUCUGCUUCAUGUCAAUGGUGAACAACGUUGGAAUGGAGUAAGCAAUCCGUGCUGCUGCUUCUGCUGUGUUUGUGGAUAAAUAAAAGUGUUAAUUAACCAGACAUCUAAUUCUCCUUCUUUUUAAUAAGCUGAACACAUGCUCUGACCAUCUUGGUGCAGAUAUGGAGAAGUAGAUUUGUUUAUGCUGAUAUCAAACUUCAGCCACAUUGUUUUGCAUGCACAGAUGUUAGACUGCAAGUGUGUGUCUUCUCCUUUAGGGUCUCGCUUUUUAUUUAGACUUCUAAACUGUAUUCAAAUAAGGUUUUGACCGAAACUGAAUCACUAGGUACUUGAAAGCUAAAGAGCUUAUCAGGCAUCUGAUAAUGUUUUCAGGAUUUUCCCAGAUGAGACCGCGUAGUGUACAGACAGGAAGCUGAAGUAUCGAGCGCCUGACCAGAGCUUCCUCCUGCGCAAGAGUGGGGGUUUCUCUGACUUGAGUUUUCAACUCUGCAUGCAUGGUUUGAGCUUUGAAAUCUAAAGGAUAAGCAGCACCCAAACCUCCCAGCUGAGCCCUCCGAGCAAGGUGAAUGGAGCCUUCAGUGUACCCCUCUUGCAAGGUCAGCAAAACAGAUCUCACCUCUCCUGUGCUGUGUUACCUUCCUGACUCCUUAUCGGCCAGGGAAUCAGAGAGGGACUUUCCAGAGCUAUAAACAUGUGAGCUGAAGAGAUGGAAUGAGCCCAUAUGCAAAUGAGUUUUGAUUCCCUUCCCUUUAUAAAGUUAAAAUGGUUUUGAGAGAGAAUCAGAUCCUGCAGAGCGUGGGAGUCCGAGGAGGUUACCUUGGGCUGGCAGUGUCCCUGUCCGUCUGUCUGCCUUUCCAUUGCAGACAGCAAAGUGGAGUGGUGUACAAUAGAAAAUGAGAAAUGCAAACCUGUGCUGAUUGAAGAGGAGGAAGGAAAAUGGAAGAGAAAAAGCUGAAGAGUGGGAAAAAGAUAAAAUAAAAUGAAUUUUGGGGAUUCCACUGUGAGUAAGAGCCGAAAAAAAUCUCCUGGAAGAAGGCCAGGCCCUGGAGAGAGCCAGCAGGAGCAUGAGAUACUGCCGUGUGUCGGGACAGCCUGAAAAUGAAUGUCAUUUAUUCUCAGCUUUGAGAACUGAAUUCCAUGGGUUGUAAUUGAAUCUGCUGUCAGACCCAUGGGGCUCAGUUCUUCAGCUUGGAUAUUUCUGUCUUCACAUACACAGGAGAUCAAAGAAGCACUUGAUCAUUCUCUGCCUCUUCUGGUGAUAGCAGCGAGCAGGAGAGGAAGCAUCACUGAUGUGAAUCAUUUCAGCAGGGAGGGGUCACUGCAGAGGCCUGGCUCUCUCAGGAUAAAUUGCUGUGCAGUGAUUGAAUCUCUUCGGAUCUCACAGGCUCUGUGUUGCUACUCACUGUUUGAUUAGCUUGAUGCUUCCCUCUCGUUGUUAUCAAGCUGCCAACUGAGUCCCUGGCUGUUGUUGGUUGGAUGGUGGUCCCCAAGCCCUGCUGAGUGGUGCAGUUCUCCUGUGGACGGCUGUGGUGAGCUCCUGUAGACCGUGGAAAGCUGGACCUCCCUUGGGCUGAGCACUAAAUCUGCCAGCUGAUAAUCCGCUGUUCCCUGCUCUCCUGGUACCACUGCUGUGCACUUACUGCCUCAUUUGCUUUGUCUUGUGCCAAAAACCCAGUUUUGACAGUAGCUGUGACCAUAAAGAUUAUUCUUUUGCACCAGCCAACCAGCCCACUUCUAUGAACACAGAUUUGCUUUCCUGAGGUUAGUGAUGUGCUCCCAAAGCUGGUUUAGGGAGUUUCCAGUGUAAUCACUGAUGGCAAUGUAAGUGCUGAUUGAAGGCUUGGUAGCACAAACAUCCCUCUGUAGGGGAAUUCGUUCAAGUCACAGAUUGAUGUUUUUUCUUGGAGGACUUAUGUUAAAAUUUUUCAUUCAGGGAUCAGGAAAAGUAAUUGUCGUCUUUAAGCAUGUAAAGAGUUACAAUUAGCAAUGAGCUUUCCACCUCUUUUCUGCAAUAAUAACACCUAAAUUACAUUUUUCCAGCUCAGUAAAGGGGAUCAUAACUGAUCUUAUCCCUCUGUUACAAAGCUCUUAAAAGCACAGAAAUGCUGAAAUCCCACAGGUGUAGGAAGAGAGUGUUCAGCUAAAGUAGCUUAAGUAGCUUAAAACUGCUGUGUGCCUUUUCAUUCUGAAUAUAUAUUUACACACACAAAAAAACCCCAGAUAUUAAUCACUGUUGCCUGUGGAUACAGAUGUACCUUCAUACUGAUAUAUUUUUCAUAUAAAUUUUUAUCCUAGGGGUUGAAGACUUUCAAUUGCAGCUGUCUGAGAUGUAUUGUGCUCACCAGUUUAGAAAUUACAGUUCUUGAAAGAGCUCACUGGUUCCACCAGCUCCUGCUGUGGGAAUAUCCAUUAAACAGGAUGGAGAAACUGAACAAAGGACGAUAUUGAAAUUUUUACUUUUUAUUUUCCUCUAUCAUCCCUGUCAGAAAGAGGAAAUGAAAUUUGAGGUCAGAGUUGGUAAAAUCUUCAAAAGAAGAGAGAUCAAUGGAACAAUUUACAGGAUGUCUGAUGCAGGCAGUGUGGUGGAUAUUAAAUGCUGCAAAGCUUCAUCCUCUUCCUUCACUGUGCAGCCCAGCCUCUGGGCAGUGAUGCAGCACAGAGGUGAUGUGUGCAUGGUGGUAGCAAGGCCAUGCAUGAAAUCCAGGAGUACAGAAGUCUUUGGAGUCCUAUCUAAGUGACAAAACAAAAAUGUGGUGUAAGUAAUGCUAUUUUUUUUCUCAAAAGCCUACAGUAAGUCCUGAACUGAUAACAGCACUGUUGAUGUUGUCUCAAACUAAGCUAAAGCAGUUAAAAUGCAGGGGGGUGAAGGAGUCACUGUCAUGUAGGCAGGGAGCACAUGCAGGGCUGGUGUUACUCUGGUGAUGGCUGCUGCUUGUGAUCCUACUCGCUGGAGGGGCCAGGGGGUGUGUGUACCCCCCUGAGGGAGAGGUUCUUCACCCCCUAAAACCUCACAGGUCACCAUGCCUUUGGCAAACUGCAAAUGGGAUGUCACUACCAAAAAUCUGGUGGCCACGUGUGGUGCUGAACCUUCCCAAGCGCAUGGAGCUGGCUGUGCCCAGGGGAGAGUCAGGAAACUUCUGUCUGGCUUUGGGCUCCAGCUCUCCAUGAAUGAUGGCUUUUCAUGCAGGAAAACUGCCUCACUGCCCAUGUGUAACGAAAAAAUUUGAUGGUAUUUGUGUCCUGAGCAAGUAUAUGUUCUGAUCAUCGCAUUCAUGUGGAAAAGGGUGAAGGAAAAAGCUGGUCCCAGAGUUCAUUAUUCUCAAGCCUUUUUCCUCUCACAGCUGCCUGGAUGUGUCUGUGCUCUACAGCUGCUGCUCAGUGAGAGAACAGAACACAAUGAAUAGGUACAGAGGUGUUUUGAAAGCAGAUGCAAGGCAGUGCCCAGCCAUUCAGCGUGCUCCUGCUCAGGCCCAGGCUGCCUUUGAGGCUUGCUUGCCCUUCAUGACAAAGCAUCUUCUUUUGGGAUAUUCUUGAUAUAUUUAAACCAGCUAGGAUUUCAAGUCCCAGGCUGUCCUACUGGCACUGCUGUGCCUUUCCAGCAGAACAAAAAGUGUUUUUAGUGUGCAGUUUCAAAGCUGUGUAACGUCUAUCUCUCAUUCUGCUGCCUCACAAUAUACCUGUUUAUUCUGCCUCACUCCAGCAGGUGAGUGAUGCCCAGCCUGCAUCUCACACCCCCAGCCUCCCAUGAAGGGAUGCAGGGUCACAGUGCUGAAGCUAAAAUGACUCUGUGGCUCCUGUGCUGGGGUUCUGUCUGAUGUACAACACCUCAGGGUAUAUUAAUGGAUCUAAAUCUUUACUGAAUCUACCCGCUCCAUGCACAACCACCAGAAGUUGAAGCACCACAACUCUGAUGACUGCAUCUCUUCUGCAGGAUUUCUCUGUUGCUCCAAAUGUUUAAUUCCAAAGUGAAAUUCGGAUUUUUUCACUUUAUUUUUCAGUACAGAAGAAUUCAGGUGACUUCACCUGAAUUUUUUAGUGCUGAUAUAGGUUAAAACCUACUUUUUGGCACAAGUAAAGCUUUUCCUAAAAAGAUAUACUGUCUCUAUGUCUCUCUUAAACUGAUCUAUGGAACCUUCUGGUGCUUAUUCACAGAUCUCACUCUGUUUAUUUUUUUCUGAAUAAAUCAAUGGCCUCAAUCCCCCUGGCACAGCUCUGGCAGACCAGUAGGGCACCUACAUUUUACAGCUGAGCAAACUGAGAGACUGAACACUUUAGAUGGGGAAGCCCUGAAUUCUCUUGCAUGCUUUUUGCUUUUGACUUGUGGUUUUAUGUUUACUAUUCACAACAAACAAAUGAGGACAAACACCUACAUACUCCUUCUUCUUCUUGUAGGAGCGUGCCUUAGUGUCACCACACUGCUUGUGUGGUUUGCUGCCUUCCUCUGCUGAUAUUCUGUCCCUGCUUCUUAGUCCUUGAUCCAUCCCUGCCUCUCUCAGGGCAUAUCUCCUGAAGUUUUUUUUUUUUACUUUUCUCCCCUAUAUGUUGUGUAUUAUUUCUCUCCCUCUUUUUAAAAAAUUUUACUUCAGUUUUUUUUUUAGCUCAUCCCCCAAGAUUCUCUUCUCCUUGCUUCAACAUAAUGGUUGAAUGUGGUGAAAAAAGCAAACCUCCUGUGCUGGAGGGGCUGAUGAACUGCUUCAAAAGCAAAAUGGGAGCAGCAAAGCAGCACAGAGCGAGGAGCUGCAGCAGUCCCUGGUCUGUAGGUGCUGCUGUGUUUCCCUUUGCAGGUAAGGGGAGAAGGUGCCUUGUGGCAUUGACCACUGCUCCCUUUUGCUGCCUCCAGCCAUCAUCCUCUCCUUCAGCCUCUGCAUUUCUGCCUUGCCCAGCGGGUGCUGGGGAGAGGCUCAGGAGGCUGCGGGGAGGCUCUCGGAUCCUUUCAGACUCUCCAAGCAGUGGCUGUGCACUGCACACUGCUCUGGAGGUGGCUCUGCACCUGCUCUUUGCAUCUCCAGGACAAGGCAGCUCUUGCAGACUGUAGCUCAACGUUUUGGUUAACAUCUCUUUUUCCUCCCAGGAAAAUGCUGAGUUUUUGUUGGGUUCAGCAAUCCUGAUGUCUGCACAGCUGAGAGAAAUAGCACUUCCCAGUGAGUGUGAGUGUGCCUCUACAGCUCUGACAAGGCUCUCCCCUGCCCUGGGAGGAAGCAGCAGGGCUGGAAAGCUGUGCAGUCACAAUAUGCUGACUAAGAAUAAUUUUGGAGCAAACAAGCAUACAGUCAUUGGGAAAGGAAGCUGUUUCAAGAUGUGAAGGGAAUUUUAAAUCGCAUUUGAAAUAAAAUUAACCUUUUCCAGAA
Non-coding RNA from Taeniopygia guttata (zebra finch), 8767 nucleotides. The record is from RefSeq and is a predicted model, not a curated record. Lineage: Eukaryota; Metazoa; Chordata; Aves; Passeriformes; Estrildidae.